RNAcentral lists this ribosomal RNA (117 nucleotides) under Musa acuminata subsp. malaccensis (wild Malaysian banana). Lineage: Eukaryota; Viridiplantae; Streptophyta; Magnoliopsida; Zingiberales; Musaceae. The record is from RNAcentral.
GAGUGUGAUCAUACCAGCACUAAAUCACCGGAUCCUAUCAAAACUCCGAAGUUAAGCGUGCUUGGGCGAGAGUAGUACUAGGAUAAGAUGGUAGAACAACAUUUUUUGUUUCAUGAU